GGACUGUGUGGUGGAAGCCCUCCCUCCUCUCCAGGACUGAAUGGCCAGGUUUGAUCAAUCAAUAGCAGUCCACUGGCUCCGGCCUAAGUGCCCCCUGCUCUAAUCACUCUGCUCUGAAAUAUGGAGGAAGAGAAAAUCUGCUGCCUGACAAGCACAGCCUCAGCACUUAAGUCCCAUCACUCAGAACAUGAAAGACUGAAUGCUGGUGAAAGGACAGAAUAGGGAUCAGCCGGGCUGACGGAGUGGGAAAGUGCAAUUACACCAAAUGAAUCCGUUUCCCACAACCGAACCCACUUCUGGCAACCCUCUUGCCCUUAUCCCCGGGAAAGGAAUCCAGGCCCACCUCGUGACCCUUUCGGCAAAACCUCCUCAAAAUCCCUCACAAUCAUCACGGCUCCCUGACAGACUCUUUUUCCGGAGCCACUCUAUCCUGCAGGUGCCCCUCACAUCAAUCAGACGGGGCAACGCACUAAAAGAAGCCUCUUAUCGAUCUGAUCAAUAGCAGCCAAAGAAACCAGGUCGCUGUCACUCUUUCCUCUGUGUGGGAGGAAGUGUCGCAUGGAUGGAAAGAAAAGGGAAGGAAAUGAGGAAAGAAAGGUGGCGAGGAAGAGGAGAGGAGAAGAGAGGAGGGAUGUGGGCAUUGAGUGAAAAGAUCUCACUUGGAAAAAGGAAAAAAGAAAAAAUCGAAGACCGAGCUAGGGAAGGAGAUGGACAUGGGGCUGGAGUAGGUGGAGGAAGGAGGCAAAGGGAGAGGUUGGCGGGAGGGAGUGGCCUGGCUGCUAUUAUAGCUCCCGGAGAGAAGGAACUCAAUCAGUGGCGAGGCGAGAAGCCCAUUGUGCUGUGGUGUAAUGGGAACUGUGAGAUUUUAUUAAGAGAGAGCAAUUGCAUGUGCUCCUCAUCAGGGUUUCCAUUGUGGCACUGGCGGUCACAAUGACGUCUGGGGAAGAUAGAAACAAGGUAUUUACUGUCUCACAUUCGGAAGAAUAGACGGCUCCAAGAAAUAGGGUUCCACUUUGACAUUAGUGGCUCUGUUGCCUGUAAUUGUCAUGGCAUCCUCUUGUUCGAUCUGCCUCCUUCCCAAUCCCUCUCACUCCAUUAUUCCUGCAGCUCUUUGCCUCGCUCUGUUUGUCCUCUCUCGUUCUCACAGUUUUGUCUUAACUGUACUUGCAGAGCAAGCCUGCACUGUGGCUAUUUAGAGGAGACGUGCGGAGGGAGUGGGGAGGGAGCGAUGUGGGAGGACAGCGUCGUAAUAAGGUGAAUCAGCCUGAAUAGUGACGGACCCGGCCUCGUCAGUUUGAUGCUGUUAGAGUCGGGUUCUCCAGGACACAGACCAUUAAUGUGGCGGCGAGCUGUGUAUUCAUUUUCCCCUCGGUCAGUAUGGAUAACUAUAGGUAAAGGGCAUGUUGUUGAUUGCUCUGCGUUUGCGUACAGCUUCAUGGGAGGAAAAGAAUAGAUUUUCUGUCCGUAUAGGUUAAAUUAUACCUCCCUCACCACUGAGAUACGAGCGACUCCCAUUAAGUGUGUGGCCCGACUUCACAGCAAGAAAAAUGCCCAUUUUUGUGUUCUCCAUACGGGAUCGUACAGGUUGUUUUUGUGUGUUCAAAUCUUAACCAUCGGACAGACUUGGAUUAACAUCGCCGCUAUUUAAAAAGAAAUAAUCGCUUUCAGAGACCAACUCACGAACCUUGGAGAUGAAAGUUCCGUUGAAUAAACAAGAGUAAAAAGAGUUUUUAAUGGUCCCAUAUUUUUU
Long non-coding RNA from Scophthalmus maximus (turbot), 1750 nucleotides. RefSeq lists it as uncharacterized. Lineage: Eukaryota; Metazoa; Chordata; Actinopteri; Pleuronectiformes; Scophthalmidae. The record is from RefSeq and is a predicted model, not a curated record. The transcript has 3 exons.